GAUGAACGCUAGCGGCAGGCCUAAUACAUGCAAGUCGAACGAGAUUAAGAGGCUUGCUUCUUAUGAAAGUGGCGCACGGGUGCGUAACGCGUAUGCAACCUACCUUAAUCAGGGGGAUAGCCCGAAGAAAUUCGGAUUAAGACCGCAUAAAAACACAGGAUAGCAUUAUCCAAUGUUCAAAUAUUUAUAGGAUUAAGAUGGGCAUGCGUGUCAUUAGCUAGUUGGCGGGGUAACGGCCCACCAAGGCGACGAUGACUAGGGGAUCUGAGAGGAUGACCCCCCACACUGGUACUGAGACACGGACCAGAAUCCGACGGAAGGCAGCAGUAAGGAAUAUUGGUCAAUGGAGGGAACUCUGAACCAGCCAUGCCGCGUGCAGGAAGACAGCCCUCUGGGUCGUAAACUGCUUUUAUUCGGGAAUAAACCUUUCUACGUGUAGGAAGCUGAAUGUACCGAAGGAAUAAGGAUCGGCUAACUCCGUG
Molecule: ribosomal RNA, 482 nt
Filed under: uncultured bacterium
Lineage: Bacteria
Description: partial 16S ribosomal RNA
Rfam family: Bacterial small subunit ribosomal RNA
Source: RNAcentral